UCGGCUACAAGUAGUUCCUCGAC
RNAcentral lists this non-coding RNA (23 nucleotides) under Arabidopsis thaliana (thale cress). The record is from RNAcentral. Lineage: Eukaryota; Viridiplantae; Streptophyta; Magnoliopsida; Brassicales; Brassicaceae.